Molecule: ribosomal RNA, 258 nt
Filed under: uncultured bacterium
Lineage: Bacteria
Description: partial 16S ribosomal RNA
Rfam family: Bacterial small subunit ribosomal RNA
Source: RNAcentral
CUUGCAAACUAAAGAUGGCGACCGGCGCACGGGUGAGUAACACGUAUCCAACCUGCCGAUAACUCGGGGAUAGCCUUUCGAAAGAAAGAUUAAUAUCCGAUAGUAUAUUAAAACCGCAUGGUUUUACUAUUAAAGAAUUCGGUUAUCGAUGGGGAUGCGUUCCAUUAGUUUGUUGGCGGGGUAACGGCCCACCAAGACUACGAUGGAUAGGGGUUCUGAGAGGAAGGUCCCCCACAUUGGAACUGAGACACGGUCCAA